AUACGGAGGAUCCGAGCGUUAUCCGGAUUUAUUGGGUUUAAAGGGUGCGCAGGCGGCCAUUUAAGUCAGCGGUUAAAUCGUGGGGCUCAACCCCAUUCUGCCGUUGAUACUGGGUGGCUUGAUUGCGGUCGAGGUUGGCGGAAUUCGUUGUGUAGCGGUGAAAUGCAUAGAUAUGACGAAGAACACCGAUUGCGUAGGCAGCUGACCAGACCGCAAAUGACGCUCAUGCACGAAAGUGCGGGGAUCGAACAGGAUUAGAUACCCUGGCAGUCCGCACAGUAAACGAUGAAUACUUGUUUUCGGCGAUAUAAUGUCGGAGGCAAAGCGAAAGCGAUAAGUAUUCCACCUGGGGAGUACGCCGGCAACGGUGAAACUCAAAUGAAUUGACGGGG
This 392-nucleotide ribosomal RNA is filed under the name uncultured bacterium. RNAcentral's name for it is "partial 16S ribosomal RNA". It matches the Rfam family "Bacterial small subunit ribosomal RNA", at positions 523 to 918 of the family's 1533-position model. The record is from RNAcentral.